GAAAUGCGAUAAUUAAUGUGAAUUGCUGAAUUCAGUGAAUCAUCGAGUCUUUGAACGCACAUUGCGCCCCCUGGUAUUCCGGGGGGCAUGCCUGUCCGAGCGUCAUUGCUGCCCUCAAGCACGGCUUGUGUGUUGGGCUUCCGUCCCUGGCAACGGGGACGGGCCCAAAAGGCAGUGGCGGCACCAUGUCUGGUCCUCGAGCGUAUGGGGCUUUGUCACCCGCUCCCGUAGGUCCAGCUGGCAGCUAGCCUCGCAACCAAUCUUUUUAACCAGGUUGACCUCGGAUCAGGUAGGGAUACCCGCUGAACUUAAGC
Molecule: unclassified non-coding RNA, 314 nt
Filed under: plant metagenome
Description: partial contains 5.8S ribosomal RNA, internal transcribed spacer 2, and large subunit ribosomal RNA
Rfam family: 5.8S ribosomal RNA (bases 1-105)
Source: RNAcentral